CAAUUCAUUGCUAAGAUUUUCAAUAGAUUUUGCUCUGUUUCAUUUUUAUCCACGAGUUUUAAAUUUGGCACAAGUGAAUAAUAGAACUGAUUUAACUCUUUUUCUUUUGCGGUUUUGUGGGUCCUCUGUUGAGUUAAAGCUGCUUUGUAAUUCAAUCUACAGUUCAUUUGUAAUGUUCAGGUUGAUAAAUAUAGAGGAGUUUAAAUGAUGUCUACUAUUUGCUGAAAACUGAUUUUGUGUUUUUGGAAGUUUGAAGUUGUACCUGUUCCAUGCCCUAUAGUGGCGUUGGGAAAGAAGUUGGUAGUGUUAUAUAGGCUUGCUUCUAUUGAGUUGUUUCCUCUAUAGGUUUUUUUCCCCAAGUUGGCUGAACUCCUUCCUCCCUUUUUAUACAUGUAGGACUUUCUAACAUAUUGCCUAUGUCAUUACAAAGGGAACAAGUGACAUAGUGCUGGUUAAAUUAACCGAGAAAUGAAAAAAGAACUCAACUGAAUGACUUAAUUCCAUUCUUGAAGCUUAAGAACUUGAAAAGUAUUUCCACUGUCAGGAUAAUGGAUGUUGAUCUAGUUCCAACAAGAAUCUGAUGUUGAUCUAGUUCUAACAAGAAUCUGAAAAAUAUGAUAACAUAGCACUUGGAUAUCUAUGUGAUGGCAGAGUCGUUCUUUCGAGCCUAGGGUCUAUCGGAAACAGCCUCCCUAUCCUAUAAAGAUAGGGGUAAGGUCUACGUACAUCUUACCCUUCCUAGACCCACUUGUGGGACCACACAGGGACGAAUGUGUGAAAAUCAACACAACUAGCAAUCUGGUACAACAAUGCACAAGCUGUUGGAAGAUCUAUCUUGGGUCACUCAACUUUUGGAUUAGAAUUUAGUUUGACAACUCUUUGGGACAAAAUAGCAUCUAGAAUACAAUGCAACAAUGAUGACUAUGCUAAUCAGGAGCUGUUUUCUCUAACUUCAGUCGAGGAAGGAUAAGGUUCUUCAACAACGGGAAAUGAAGUCAGCCACAACUAGAAGUUUGAAGACAACAAAAUAGUUUGGAGACAUUUUAUGUUAUUUUUUUGGGUUAUACAUCUGUACAAAGAAAAUGGGUUAUAAUUUUAUAAUGUAUACUUUAUAUACUUUAUGUUUUAUUAGCAAUGAAAUAUUCUUAUAUAACUGUAUUUCUCAGAAUCACCUCCUUAUCGACUACGAAUUAACCUCGUAUUUUAUGCCAAUUGAAAUGGUAAUUAAUUAUG
Long non-coding RNA from Lycium ferocissimum, 1233 nucleotides. RefSeq lists it as uncharacterized. The record is from RefSeq and is a predicted model, not a curated record. The transcript has 4 exons. NCBI's taxonomy places the organism in Eukaryota, Viridiplantae, Streptophyta, Magnoliopsida, Solanales, Solanaceae.